RNAcentral lists this ribosomal RNA (748 nucleotides) under Austrochloritis sp. NE9. Its description in RNAcentral is "partial large subunit ribosomal RNA". The stretch from base 303 to 529 matches the Rfam family "Bacterial large subunit ribosomal RNA", at positions 1725 to 2017 of the family's 2925-position model. The record is from RNAcentral. Lineage: Eukaryota; Metazoa; Mollusca; Gastropoda; Stylommatophora; Camaenidae.
UUAAUUAAAAGAAAUUAUUUUUAUUUUUUCACGGAAGUUGGGGGGAGCUAAAAUUGUAUAUAUUUAUAGAUACCAACAUGUAGUAUAAUUAAGAAAAUAGUAUUUAGGAGUGAUAGGCUUACCACACCCAACGAUAACUUGAUGGUUUUAAAAUGUACUAGUACAUAGACACUUUUGAAAUGAUAAGGUUUUAAAAGUCAAACAAAUUUUCUUAAUUAUUAUAUAUAAUAUUUAAUCAUUAAUACAAUAAUAAAAUAACAUAUAUUUCAAAUAGUUGUUGAAUAUACUAACCUGUAUUAAAAUUAAAUAAAAUAUUUAUAAUGUUAAUAUUAGUAACUUAUAGAUGUUAGUAAUGAACUUGGCAAAAAGUCUUUCAACUGUUUAUCAAAAACAUAGCUAUAUGGAUGAAUAUAUAGUGAUUUCUGCUCAAUGCAAGUUAAAUAGCCGCAGUACUUUGACUGUGCUAAGGUAGCGCAAUCAAUUGACUUUUAAAUGGAGUCCCGUAUGAAAGAACCUAUGGAGGGCUACUUUCUCAUUGACAAUUAAUGAAUUUAAUCAAGAAGUGCAAAUGCUUUUACAUAAAUAAUAGACGAGAAGACCCUAGAAAUUUUAUAGAGAUACUUUUUGUUGGGGCAACAAAGUAGUAAAUUAAUCUACUGUUAUGACACGCAAGUUUUAUCUUGACAGAUUAAAUUACUCUAGGGAUAACAGCAUAAUUUGCGAAAGUUUGUGACCUCGAUGUUGGAUU